AUCUACAGCACAUGGGCAAGCAGCCUGAAGCACAACGCCCGACGCACAAAGCCUGGCUGUCUUCCUGCCGCCACUGGAGUCCCUUCCUGCGAGUGAGCUGCUCGCCCUCUUCUUUCUCUGCUCUGGAUCUGCCACCACGAACUGAAGGGCCACUGGAGCUGGGGGGUCUACAGCCCUGAUUUACCAUUCCAGAGACAGAUGAGUGAACCUACUCAGGACCCCACUGGAGUUAAGGGAUCUCGUGCACUGCACUUUGCAGGAAGAGGGCCGCAACUUGCUCUCUUCCUGCCGUCACACAUUCUCAUGAUUUCUUCAUGCAAGGAUUUGGGGGAAUACACACGGCUCCUCCUUUCCACCAGCUGCCUGAGAACUUCACCUCAGCGGAGGGGAGUUGUACCUUUUCUGCCGGAACCUGAAAUUCUCAACUUUCCAGGUCCUUUGCAAUCUACAGCACAUGGGCAAGCAGCCUGAAGCACAACGCCCGACGCACAAAGCCUGGCUGUCUUCCUGCCGCCACUGGAGUCCCUUCCUGCGAGUGAGCUGCUCGCCCUCUUCUUUCUCUGCUCUGGAUCUGCCACCACGAACUGAAGGGCCACUGGAGCUGGGGGGUCUACAGCCCUGAUUUACCAUUCCAGAGAUGAGUGAACCUACUCAGGACCCCACUGGAGUUAAGGGAUCUCGUGCACUGCACUUUGCAGGAAGAGGGCCGCAACUUGCUCUCUUCCUGCCGUCACACAUUCUCAUGAUUUCUUCAUGCAAGGAUUUGGGGGAAUACACACGGCUCCUCCUUUCCACCAUCUGCCUGAGAACUUCACCUCAGCGGAGGGGAGUUGUACCUUUUCUGCCGGAACCUGAAGUUCUCAACUU
Molecule: long non-coding RNA, 867 nt
Organism: Grus americana (Whooping crane)
Lineage: Eukaryota; Metazoa; Chordata; Aves; Gruiformes; Gruidae
Exons: 4
Source: RefSeq, a predicted model, not a curated record